UGGGGAAUAUUGCACAAUGGGCGCAAGCCUGAUGCAGCCAUGCCGCGUGUAUGAAGAAGGCCUUCGGGUUGUAAAGUACUUUCAGCGGGGAGGAAGGUGUUGAGGUUAAUAACCUCAGCAAUUGACGUUACCCGCAGAAGAAGCACCGGCUAACUCCGUGCAAGCAGCCGCGGUAAUACGGAGGGUGCAAGCGUUAAUCGGAAUUACUGGGCGUAAAGCGCACGCAGGCGGUCUGUCAAGUCGGAUGUGAAAUCCCCGGGCUCAACCUGGGAACUGCAUUCGAAACUGGCAGGCUAGAGUCUUGUAGAGGGGGGUAGAAUUCCAGGUGUAGCGGUGAAAUGCGUAGAGAUCUGGAGGAAUACCGGUGGCGAAGGCGGCCCCCUGGACAAAGACUGACGCUCAGGUGCGAAAGCGUGGGGAGCAAACA
RNAcentral lists this ribosomal RNA (427 nucleotides) under uncultured bacterium. RNAcentral's name for it is "partial 16S ribosomal RNA". It matches the Rfam family "Bacterial small subunit ribosomal RNA", at positions 355 to 774 of the family's 1533-position model. The record is from RNAcentral.